AGGAAACUCUGAUGCAGCGAUGCCGCGUGAGUGAAGAAGGCCUUUGGGUUGUAAAGCUCUUUUGUAGGGGAAGAUAAUGACUGUACCCUAAGAAUAAGGUCCGGCUAACUUCGUGCCAGCAGCCGCGGUAAUACGAAGGGACCUAGCGUGGUUCGGAAUUACUGGGCGUAAAGCGCGCGUAGGCCGUUGAGUUAGUUAAUUGUGAAAUCCCAAAGCUUAACUUUGGAACUGCAAUUAAAACUGCUCGACUAGAGUUUGAUAGAGGAAAGCGGAAUACAUAGUGUAGAGGUGAAAUUCGUAGAUAUUAUGUAGAACACCAGUUGCGAAGGCGGCUUUCUGGAUCAACACUGACGCUGAGGCGCGAAAGUAUGGGUAGCAAAGAGGAUUAGAUACCCUCGUAGUCCAUACCAUAAACGAUGAUUGCUAGAUGUUGGAAAUUUAUUUUCAGUAUCGCAGCUAACGCAUUAAGCAAUCCGCCUGGGGAGUACGACCGCAAGGUUAAAACUCAAAUGAAUUGACGG
Molecule: ribosomal RNA, 521 nt
Filed under: uncultured bacterium
Lineage: Bacteria
Description: bacterial SSU rRNA
Rfam family: Bacterial small subunit ribosomal RNA
Source: RNAcentral